AUCACUUCUUGGCCUUUUGGCUAAGAUCACAUGUAGUAUCUGUUCUUAUCAGUUUAAUAUCUGAUACGUCCUCUAUCUGAGGACAAUAUAUUAAAUAGAUUUUUGGAGCUCAGAGUUGGAAUAGGAGCUUGCUCCAUCCACUCCAUGCAUCGACCUGGUAUUGCAGUACCUCUAGGAACAGUGCUCCCCCU
Molecule: small nuclear RNA, 191 nt
Filed under: Jaculus jaculus (lesser Egyptian jerboa)
Lineage: Eukaryota; Metazoa; Chordata; Mammalia; Rodentia; Dipodidae
Description: U2 spliceosomal RNA (ENSJJAG00000003686.1)
Rfam family: U2 spliceosomal RNA
About the family: U2 is a small nuclear RNA (snRNA) component of the spliceosome (involved in pre-mRNA splicing). Complementary binding between U2 snRNA (in an area lying towards the 5' end but 3' to hairpin I) and the branchpoint sequence (BPS) of the intron results the bulging out of an unpaired adenosine, on the BPS, which initiates a nucleophilic attack at the intronic 5' splice site, thus starting the first of two transesterification reactions that mediate splicing.
Source: Rfam by way of RNAcentral